AAUCUAUGGUGAAAAUGCCAUCUCAAUAAGUCCUUGUACCUCUCCCAUGCAUCAUAUAAAGUCUCUAAAUCGAUCUGCACAAAGGAGGAGAUAUCAUUCCUCAACUU
RNAcentral lists this small nucleolar RNA (107 nucleotides) under Gossypium hirsutum (cotton). RNAcentral's name for it is "Plant small nucleolar RNA R71". It matches the Rfam family "Plant small nucleolar RNA R71". Rfam says of the family: R71 is a member of the C/D box family of snoRNAs containing the C (UGAUGA) and D (CUGA) box motifs. Multiple nearly identical copies of this snoRNA have been identified in Arabidopsis, and it is thought to function as a 2'-O-ribose methylation guide for 18S ribosomal RNA. Lineage: Eukaryota; Viridiplantae; Streptophyta; Magnoliopsida; Malvales; Malvaceae. The record is from Rfam by way of RNAcentral.